CCCACCAUAAAUCCUGCCCUAAAAAUUCUUUAUGGAGUCCACCUGUCCACAGCAAAUAAAUCAAUUGCUCUAAAUUAAAUUCUGUAAAAGCUGAGUGGCAUAGGGUACCAUGUCUGGAUUUAUUUGGGAGCCAGCAAGACUGUAAUUUUCUAAGUCAACACUCUGACCCUGCUUUAUUCAUUUGCUGUUUGUGAUAAAACUGGAUCUCUCCCUAUAUUUUUGGCUGGUUGUUUCUUCUCUCUGUGAUAGCUGUAAUAAGCGUGUCCCUGAGAAGAGGAUGGUGGGGAGGAGGCACAGAGGGCUGUCAUCCAAAGGAGAGAAUUAAAUCAGGAUGUAUCUGCUCAUGCUGGCUCCUGUUUUUGCACAGCCUUCUGCUUAUAUUUUCCCUGCAUUAACUUCUCACAAGCGAAGCUAAAGUGCCAGGCAAAGGCCUCGUUAGACACACAUCUUGGGGAACUCUGAUGUGCCAUUAAUUAAGCUCUUUCAGUGCCUCUUUCCUGCUGGUUUCAAGGACCAGCCUGCGUGCCUUAACUCUUCUCUGCUCUUUCAUCUCCCUCUUUCCUCAACAGUGCUCUGACAAGAGCAGUGCGGGGCCCUGCUGCAGAUGGGGCUGGGAUGGUGUAGUGCCCUCUAAGUGAACUCUCAAGUCUUCUCUAGCAGAGGGAGAGCCCUUGCCAAGCUUGUCAGACAGCGAUGUGCAGAGCCGUUCUCUGUCAAUGGGUUUGUUGGGCAAAGUCAGGGCUUGACAAAGAAGAAGUAGAUGCCAGCACAUCCUGGCAUGGCAGCACCAUACGGAUCCAUCCUCCUGCUGCUACCCUUCAGCUGAUGGCACCGGAAGUCUUCCCAUCAGAAAGGUUAGCACUGUCAGCCUGAUUGAUUUCCCUCAGCUAAUGACUCAAAUAAGAAUUCGUAAUAUAUCACUCCCGGUGUUGCUUUUAUUUCAUUUUAUUGUUUUUCUUCCUCUGUUGUCCCUCUCAGCAAAGUUUGAGGAUAACUUAAAUCAUGGUGGUGUGCUCUUAGAAAUGUAGGGUGUACUGGUUGAGCUAUUCCCCAUUGUACUUAUGCUCUGCCUCAAAAAAACACUUUACCAGGUGAAGAUCCUAGUCCCAACCCUCACCACACAACCAAUGGCUGAUUAAGACAAGGCAUCCUUCCCCUGAACUUGAACUAGAGACUAUAGAUGUACUUCAAAACUGCACCUAUCUAUCCUGAAUGUGCUUUAUGCCAAGAAAUGAGCAGUCAGGACUAAUCCAACUUCUGGAGGGAUAUUUUAAUGUGUAUUUAUGUGUUAGAGGAGAGGGAAAUGUAACACCAUAUAUCUCUCUUACAGCUAAGAAGCUAUGAGAUGGAGAUGAUGCUGGUAUUUUGAUCUCUAUCUUCCCUUGGCAGCUCAAUCUUCUUUUCAUACAUCUUAGAGGAAAAUUGGGUGUCGCUUUCUGCUGAGUCUACUGCCUACUUGGUCCUUAACAGCCCACUUUGUCCCUGUAACCAAAGCCCUAGGACUUAAGAUGAUCAAUUUAUAACGUCUACAGAGUGCUAGGAUGAAAAGAUGUUCUGAAAAUGCCUCAGAUGAAAAGAAGCUGUAAAAAAAAACUAAUCUUUACCCUGAUAGACUGAUUACAAUCUAUUGUGCUGUGGAUUAGCGGGUGAGUAUUUAUUCUGCUUAUUUUUUUACUCCUAUGUACAGAUGCUCUGGACCACAAUGACCUCUUUGAAGUCAUUAUUGGCUCUCGCAUCCAUGAGUAGUAUGGAGGGCACAUUAAUAAACUGUAUAUAGAAAAAGACAAUGAAGUCCCCAAGAAGUCAUUAAGAGUCUAUUGUGUCAGUCUGACUGUGGCCCACAAAAGAUACUGAAUAUGUAAGCUAAAAAUAUCCUUCGGAAAUGCUGUUGACACAGUUAUUUUACAUUGGCAGCAACAUCUUCCCCCCACAUACACACGCUCCCCUUGCUAAUCCUGCUCAGAGCAAUCCAUGUUCUGGGAAUCAUCUGUUUUUUUUUUUUUUUCUUGGGAUUCAGAGACCUCCAGAUAGCAGCACUCUGCUGGCACUUUGCAGCUUUGUUAGGGAAAAACAGGAGCGUAUCUUUUAUUCCUGCCCUAUAUCCUCCUAUGUAUGAAGUGCUGCACAAACACCCAACUGAUGACUGCAGUUAUGUCAAAGAGCUGUCAGCUGAAAAGAACAGAGCAUAAAAAUACGAGAAGGGAGCAGGUAUCCACACUUCUUCUGUCCUUUUGGACCCAGCAGUGCCCCCACCUCUCAGCCCCUCAGUUUCCUGUACCCAAGUCCACGAGGGACGCUCAGCCCAGCAGCAGAGGAGUUGACCUCAGGUUUUUCUGGUGACACCAGCGCUGACACUCUGCCUCCUCCACGUUGGCAUGGAUGCUUAGAAGAGCUGCUCCCAAAGGUGCAGAGAUCAGCUUCUUCUGGAAGAAAUGUAUCUAAAAUGAGCAGAAGUGCUCUCCUGUGUAUCACGGGGACGUUGUCAUCUCCCAGGCUGUGAUAUGUGGCUAAAAAAAGAACAGAGGGCUCCUAAAAGUAGCCGAAAAGUGCAUGAUCUGUGAGUAGAGCCAGGAGACAACUGAGUCAUCUCAAGUUCUACAGAGGGCCGAAAGAGUGGUAUUGGAGUGAAUAUGAGUGCAGAGCAGGCUGUGAGCAACGGCCCCAUCUCCAUGAUUUCCAUAGUCAAGCAGAUAGUACAAGAGAUGUGUGCUUGUGCAUUUGUAUCAUUCAGACUCCAUGUUUUCAGAUUCUUUGAACGGAGAACAAGAAAAAUGAUGGAGGAAAAGGAUCAGUGAGAAAACACUUGGAAUCACACCAGCGAGAAAGCCCCUGCUUUGCUAACACUGUGGUGGUUGGCAGUGGGAAAUAACUAACCUCCUACCACAGUGAUAGCUGAUAGUUAUAGCAUGCUUAAAACAGUCAUGUAUUUUGUAUCCCACUCUCUUCCACAGAAGUCACGUUUGCCAGAAACUUAAAAAAAGAUUCAAGUAUGGUUCAUGUUUCAUUUUGCUCUGAGGUAAUUGCCAGUCAGCAGCCAUUUGUGGUCUAAGAUGACUGGAAGUUUUAAAGCAGAAUGUGGGCUUUUCCCACUUAUCUACUUACCAAAACCAACAUCUACUGGGGAAAAAAAAAUCAACACAAUAAACAACAGAACAAAACAGUAUCUCAGAGGAGUCUGGCACACAAAUGACACAGUUAAAAUGUUGCUCCACUAUUACAAUUGCUUCAGAAUGAUUACUAUCCUUCUAUUUCAUCCUCAGCUGAUUAGUCCCUAGGCUCAAUUGCUUUCAAAUGAAUAAAACACCAUCUAUUUGUGUUUUUCCUUCUGUGAGGGAAAAAAAAAAAAAAAUCUACUUAUUGUGAUAAAGAGAUUGGUUUUAUCUGUGUGGACUUUUGUUCUAAGGAAUGCAAUAAUUUUGCUGGUACUGAAAUUCCGAUUUUGAGUGUUUUUAAUUAGACUAUUGUCUACUCUGUUGAUUUGAGAAAUGGUUUGCAUAACUGACCCAAACACCUCCGGAAGCUUAAACUGAAUUUUGGAAAGCAUUACUGAAUAUUUUUCCUGUCUUCCUCCUCGCUGGACAGAAAAAGCUGAAAAGCCCCAAGCACAGUCGGAUACGCAAACCCACAAGGAUACUAGCAGCUAUGCGUUUCCCAUCACCAGUUGUUCAGGAAAUGCUGUACUUCAAAGAUAUCAGGUCAUUGCCCUUUUUCAAUACAAGGCGUUCAGAUAUAGUUUUGAAAAAUUUUCAGUUGUCAUCCAAGAUGAAUCUUAUCACGUUUACCCAUUAUUUCGAAUCAGAUCUGAAACAUGACAGGCAUAAUUUGGAUUGAGAUAUUUGGCAUUUCCCAAACCCCUGCCAUAUGUCACUCAAAGCCAUUGAUGGGCACUUCAAAGAAAACCAGCAUGCAGUUUUGAGCAGUUCUUUGCAAGUUUCUUUGUAGCAAAAUUUCCUACUUGGAAGCCCUCUAGUUAAGCUUGCAUUUCUGAUAAAUUUCCAUGCAUUAUUAACCUAAUUGGACCCAACAUAUAUUCUAAGAUUCUCAUUAAUAUUUUUAACAUGUUAUGGCAUCUUUAUCCUUGAGCAGUCAACCAAGUUUUCAUCUUCAUAAAAAUGGGUUCCUCAUAAUCGGACAAUCCAAUCAUUUCCAGUCCAUAAGGUAAAUUUCCUCUAUAUUCUUUGAUUUUGCAGGAUUUUUUUUUUUAACCAAUCAGCAUAAUACAUUUCACCCUAUGGUUUAUUUCUCCGUAAACCUUGCCACAAUUGCUGGAAGCUUCUAACUGGAAAGGAUGCCAACUUGAGCUGGAGGACACAUCUAAGAGAUGACCUCAGGCCAACUGAAAGAAGGUAGAGCAUUUUAGGAGGACCGUUCCAUUUAUUCUUGCAAUUUAGACGCUUCGCUGACUUCUGAUCAUCUUCAGAAUGGAUAAAAUGCCAAUGGACCGUACUGAAUGGUAAAUAAAUGGUACUACAGCCCACUGACUGUUAGUCGUUCGUUAAUAUAUCUGCAUAGGGAUAACACUGUGGAGACUAAAUCCUGAAUAAAACUGUCUGAGGUGAUACAAAAACGAACAUGAAAAGGAUGACCCUAAGCUAAAAAGAUUACUUGUGUUUGUUUGGCUCGAUGGCUGUAAUAGCAGCAGUAUUCAGCUGGAACAAUUAUUGGGUAGAAAAGAAGGGUUUUUUUUUGUAUAAGUUCAGAAUGCUUUCACUGUUAUUAUCUAAAAUUGAACUAUGUAUAUUAUUUUAAAUGGGUAAAUUUUUGUUUUGUAUCCAUGAAAUUGCUACCACAUUAACAAGAUUUUCCAGGCAUUAAUGGAUUGAUUUCUGUUAAAUUGUAACUAUAUUAAUUCAUCCCAAUUACCUCUAAGUAAAAUUUAAAUUAAGUUAAAUUGAAGAAAUUAAAAAUGUUUGAAAACCCUGCAUGGAAACCUUGAGGCAUCAUAAGAUUGUCAUUUCUCAUCUUUAAUGUCAUUCAUUUUGCAACUGAGAACACAACAUAAGUAGUCUCAGUUCUCACAAGAUUUGUAAGCUGCUAUUUUUCUGUACAAUUUGAAGGUAAUUUAAAGGUAUCUCAAUAAGUCCAACCUGCU
Molecule: long non-coding RNA, 5092 nt
Filed under: Gallus gallus (chicken)
Lineage: Eukaryota; Metazoa; Chordata; Aves; Galliformes; Phasianidae
Source: RNAcentral